GGAGAGAUAGCUCAGUGGUUAAAAGCACUGGCUGCUGUUUCAGAAGACCUGGGUUCAAUUCCCAGCACCUACA
Non-coding RNA from Mesocricetus auratus (golden hamster), 73 nucleotides. Lineage: Eukaryota; Metazoa; Chordata; Mammalia; Rodentia; Cricetidae. The record is from Rfam.